Molecule: long non-coding RNA, 250 nt
Organism: Pseudophryne corroboree (corroboree frog)
Lineage: Eukaryota; Metazoa; Chordata; Amphibia; Anura; Myobatrachidae
Exons: 3
Source: RefSeq, a predicted model, not a curated record
CACACAGACCAGCAACUACCCGGGCAGCAGGCUGAAGAAUGAUAUUGCAGCCAGGAACUCAACACAGGAGAGAUGGGAUGGUAUCAGGAUCUUUGUGAUGGCAGCGGUCAGAAUACAGACAUCACCCUUACAUGCCAAAUCCUGACACCUGGAAGCACACUUACGUUCGGGAGCCAGCAGUCGGGAUUCCAGUGCCGGCAUUUUUAUCCAUGUGGGGAUCCCGCACCAGCAUUCUGACCAAUGUUGGUAU